This 866-nucleotide ribosomal RNA is filed under the name uncultured Actinomyces sp. RNAcentral's name for it is "bacterial SSU rRNA". It matches the Rfam family "Bacterial small subunit ribosomal RNA". The record is from RNAcentral. Lineage: Bacteria; Bacillati; Actinomycetota; Actinomycetes; Actinomycetales; Actinomycetaceae.
GAUGAACGCUAGCUACAGGCUUAACACAUGCAAGUCGAGGGGAAACGGCAUUUAGUGCUUGCACUCUUUGGACGUCGACCGGCGCACGGGUGAGUAACGCGUAUCCAACCUUCCCAUUACUGUGGGAUAACCUGCCGAAAGGCAGACUAAUACCGCAUAGUCUUCGAUGACGGCAUCAGAUUUGAAGUAAAGAUUUAUCGGUAAUGGAUGGGGAUGCGUCUGAUUAGCUUGUUGGCGGGGUAACGGCCCACCAAGGCGACGAUCAGUAGGGGUUCUGAGAGGAAGGUCCCCCACAUUGGAACUGAGACACGGUCCAAACUCCUACGGGAGGCAGCAGUGAGGAAUAUUGGUCAAUGGGCGAAAGCCUGACGCAGCGACGCCGCGUGCGGGAAGGAGGCCUUCGGGUCGUAAACCGCUUUCAGCAGGGAAGAAGCCUGACGGUACCUGCAGAAGAAGCCCCGGCUAACUACGUGCCAGCAGCCGCGGUAAUACGUAGGGGGCGAGCGUUAUCCGGAUUCAUUGGGCGUAAAGCGCGCGCAGGCGGCCCGCCAAGCGGCCUCGUCGAAGCCGGGGGCUCAACCCCCGGAAGCGACCCGAACUGGCGGGCUCGAGUGGGGCAGGGGAGGAUGGAAUUCCCGGUGUAGCGGUGAAAUGCGCAGAUAUCGGGAGGAACACCGACGGCGAAGGCCCCCCUCUGGGCCUUCACUGACGCUGAGGCGCGAAAGCUGGGGGAGCGAAAAAAGAUUGAAUACCCUAUAGUCCCAAGGGCGAAUUCACAGUGGAUAUAAGCUUAUCGAAUCCGUGGAGCGCGAGGGGGGGGCCCGCGUACCCUCCUUUUGAUUCCCUUUAUUCAAUAAUAUUAAGUU